UUUGGACAAGAUUUGAAUGACUUGUGCAUGGUUACUCUUCAUAGUUCCAUUUGGAUGAAUCACAUGAUCAUUUCUCAAUUACAAAUGCAUGACCUCAUGUUAGACUUUCAACAUCAUUCAUGAUCAUUUUUGGACCUGAUUACAUCAUCUCAUAGGCCUAUCACACUCUCAUUCAAGCAUGCACUUCACAUUUCUAUUUUUGGCCAAAGUUUGGAAGUGUGUGAAAAUCAAUGAACAUGGCCAUGAAUACAUAACCUUGGUGAUCAAAAUGAGG
RNAcentral lists this long non-coding RNA (274 nucleotides) under Lathyrus oleraceus (garden pea). RNAcentral describes it as "Pisum sativum (pea) long non-coding RNA (PSAT_LNC027067)". Lineage: Eukaryota; Viridiplantae; Streptophyta; Magnoliopsida; Fabales; Fabaceae. The record is from RNAcentral.